CCGCAAGGUUAAAACUCAAAUGAAUUGACGGGGGCCCGCACAAGCGGUGGAGCAUGUGGUUUAAUUCGAUGCAACGCGAAGAACCUUACCUACUCUUGACAUCCACAGAAUUCGCUAGAGAUAGCUUAGUGCCUUCGGGAACUGUGAGACAGGUGCUGCAUGGCUGUCGUCAGCUCGUGUUGUGAAAUGUUGGGUUAAGUCCCGCAACGAGCGCAACCCUUAUCCUUUGUUGCCAGCACGUAAUGGUGGGAACUCAAAGGAGACUGCCGGUGAUAAACCGGAGGAAGGUGGGGAUGACGUCAAGUCAUCAUGGCCCUUACGAGUAGGGCUACACACGUGCUACAAUGGCGUAUACAAAGAGAAGCGAACUCGCGAGAGCCAGCGGACCUCAUAAAGUACGUCGUAGUCCGGAUCGGAGUCUGCAACUCGACUCCGUGAAGUCGGAAUCGCUAGUAAUCGUAGAUCAGAAUGCUACGGUGAAUACGUUCCCGGGCCUUGUACACACCGCCCGUCACACCAUGGGAGUGGGUG
RNAcentral lists this ribosomal RNA (531 nucleotides) under Serratia proteamaculans. RNAcentral describes it as "bacterial SSU rRNA". It matches the Rfam family "Bacterial small subunit ribosomal RNA", at positions 886 to 1416 of the family's 1533-position model. The record is from RNAcentral. Lineage: Bacteria; Pseudomonadati; Pseudomonadota; Gammaproteobacteria; Enterobacterales; Yersiniaceae.